RNAcentral lists this ribosomal RNA (433 nucleotides) under uncultured bacterium. RNAcentral describes it as "partial 16S ribosomal RNA". It matches the Rfam family "Bacterial small subunit ribosomal RNA", at positions 29 to 507 of the family's 1533-position model. The record is from RNAcentral.
AACGAACGCUGGCGGCAUGCCUAACACAUGCAAGUCGAACGAGACCUUCGGGUCUAGUGGCGCACGGGUGCGUAACGCGUGGGAACCUGCCCUUAGGUUCGGAAUAACUCCCCGAAAGGGGUGCUAAUACCGGAUAAUGUCUUCGGACCAAAGAUUUAUCGCCGUUGGAUGGGCCCGCGUUGGAUUAGCUAGUUGGUAGGGUAAAAGCCUACCAAGGCGACGAUCCAUAGCUGGUUUGAGAGGAUGAUCAGCCACACUGGGACUGAGACACGGCCCAGACUCCUACGGGAGGCAGCAGUGGGGAAUAUUGGACAAUGGGCGAAAGCCUGAUCCAGCAAUGCCGCGUGAGUGAUGAAGGCCUUAGGGUUGUAAAGCUCUUUUACCCGGGAUGAUAAUGACAGUACCGGGAGAAUAAGCACCGGCUAACUCCGUG